Molecule: ribosomal RNA, 460 nt
Filed under: uncultured bacterium
Lineage: Bacteria
Description: partial 16S ribosomal RNA
Rfam family: Bacterial small subunit ribosomal RNA
Source: RNAcentral
CCUACGGGAGGCUGCAGUGAGGAAUAUUGGUCAAUGGACGGAAGUCUGAACCAGCCAUGUCGCGUGCAGGAUGACGGCUCUAUGAGUUGUAAACUGCUUUUGUAUGGGGGUAAAACUGAAUACGUGUAUUCAGCUGUAUGUACUAUAUGAAUAAGGAUCGGCUAACUCCGUGCCAGCAGCCGCGGUAAUACGGAGGAUCCAAGCGUUAUCCGGAUUUAUUGGGUUUAAAGGGUGCGUAGGCGGAUUGUUAAGUUAGAGGUGAAAUGUCCGAGCUUAACUCGGGAACUGCAUUUAAUACUGUUGAUCUAGAGAGUAGAUGCGGUAGGCGGAAUGUAUGGUGUAGCGGUGAAAUGCUUAGAGAUCAUACAGAACACCGAUUGCGAAGGCAGCUUACCAAUCUAUAUCUGACGUUGAGGCACGAAAGCGUGGGGAUCAAACAGGAUUAGAUACCCGUGUAGUC